CAGGGGUUAGUUUAUUUAAAAUAUCGGUUUUGGGGACCGGUGAUAGAAGAUUUUCUACUCCUGA
Molecule: transfer RNA, 64 nt
Filed under: Phlaeoba tenebrosa
Lineage: Eukaryota; Metazoa; Arthropoda; Insecta; Orthoptera; Acrididae
Description: tRNA-Pro
Source: RNAcentral